AUCUUUGAUCUGGGUGAGAGAAACGCGUAUCGAUGAGAUUCAGGGCUUACUAGUUCACACAGUUGCAUCCACACACCAAUUGUUUUAACAAUUUGGAGUGAGUGUGUUUUGAUCGAUACGGGUCCUCUCACCUAGACUAGAGUUGC
Glycine soja is the source of this 146-nucleotide non-coding RNA. Lineage: Eukaryota; Viridiplantae; Streptophyta; Magnoliopsida; Fabales; Fabaceae. The record is from Rfam.